This is a long non-coding RNA of Xiphias gladius (swordfish), 330 nucleotides long. RefSeq lists it as uncharacterized. The transcript is spliced from 3 exons. Lineage: Eukaryota; Metazoa; Chordata; Actinopteri; Istiophoriformes; Xiphiidae. The record is from RefSeq and is a predicted model, not a curated record.
UUCUCAUAUACAAAUACAUAAACACAAGAAGAAGAGGAGGAGAUGUUAAUGCGACAAGGGAAGGGAUUUGGAAAAUCAGGGCCUUUUUAUCCAGCUUACAAUUAGCAAUCCUACUGAUUGUGUGUAUCAUCUUUUCCAUCUACAUACACAAAUACAAAGGCACAGCAGGUAAGAAGCCAUGAAAGAUUGUAUUUAUUUCACUGCAUCAAAUAUGUAUUGGUGCUAUAUGAUCAUAAAUAUAUUUAAUCAGUCUUUGCCUCUAACUUACAUUACAUGUACAUUUCUUUAGUUAUGGUGUAUCACUGUAAAUUAACGCGUGUAGGUUCCAGC